AGCGAACGCUGGCGGCAGGCUUAACACAUGCAAGUCGAGCGGGCACUUUCGGGUGUCAGCGGCGGACGGGUGAGUAACGCGUGGGAACGUGCCCUCUGGUUCGGAAUAACUCAGGGAAACUUGAGCUAAUACCGGAUACGCCCUUUUGGGGAAAGGCUUGCUGCCGGAGGAUCGGCCCGCGUCUGAUUAGCUAGUUGGUGAGGUAACGGCUCACCAAGGCGACGAUCAGUAGCUGGUCUGAGAGGAUGAUCAGCCACACUGGGACUGAGACACGGCCCAGACUCCUACGGGAGGCAGCAGUGGGGAAUAUUGGACAAUGGGCGCAAGCCUGAUCCAGUCAUGCCGCGUGAGUGAUGAAGGCCUUAGGGUUGUAAAGCUCUUUUAUCCGGGACGAUAAUGACGGUACCGGAGGAAUAAGCCCCGGCUAACUUCGUG
Molecule: ribosomal RNA, 435 nt
Filed under: uncultured bacterium
Lineage: Bacteria
Description: partial 16S ribosomal RNA
Rfam family: Bacterial small subunit ribosomal RNA
Source: RNAcentral